RNAcentral lists this ribosomal RNA (258 nucleotides) under uncultured bacterium. Its description in RNAcentral is "partial 16S ribosomal RNA". It matches the Rfam family "Bacterial small subunit ribosomal RNA", at positions 556 to 793 of the family's 1533-position model. The record is from RNAcentral.
UUACGUGGGACGUAAAGCGCAUGCAGGUGGUUUAGUUAAGUCAGAUGUAGAAACGGCCCGGGGCUACCAACCCGUACGGUAAUUGCUAUUUAGAAACGUGGACAAACUAGAGUACUGUAGAGGGGGUAGAAUUUCAGGUGUAGCGGUGAAAUGCGUAGAGAUCUGAAGGAAUACCGGUGGCGAAGGCGGCCCCCUGGACAGAUACUGACACUCAGAUGCGAAAGCGUGGGGAGCAAACAGGAUUAGAUACCCUGGUAG